CCAGAGAACUUAGCAGAGAUGCUUUGGUGCCUUCGGGAAUCUGAGACAGGUGCUGCAUGGCUGUCGUCAGCUCGUGUUGUGAAUGUUGGGUUAAGUCCCGCAACGAGCGCAACCCUUAUCCUUUGUUGCCAGCGAUUCGGUCGGGAACUCAAAGGAGACUGCCGGUGAUAAACCGGAGGAAGGUGGGGAUGACGUCAAGUCAUCAUGGCCCUUACGGCCAGGGCUACACACGUGCUACAAUGGCGCAUACAAAGAGAAGCGACCUCGCGAGAGCAAGCGGACCUCAUAAAGUGCGUCGUAGUCCGGAUUGGAGUCUGCAACUCGACUCCAUGAAGUCGGAAUCGCUAGUAAUCGUAGAUCAGAAUGCUACGGUGAAUACGUUCCCGGGCCUUGUACACACCGCCCGUCACACCAUGGGAGUGGGUUGCAAAAGAAGUAGGUAGCUUAACCUUCGGGAGGGCGCUUACCACUUUGUGAUUCAUGACUGGGGUGAAGUCGUAACAAGGUAGGCGUAGCGAG
This 519-nucleotide ribosomal RNA is filed under the name uncultured bacterium. Its description in RNAcentral is "bacterial SSU rRNA". It matches the Rfam family "Bacterial small subunit ribosomal RNA", at positions 988 to 1509 of the family's 1533-position model. The record is from RNAcentral.